CUUCAAGCUGGUGAUGGAGUCUUUGGCGCGGACCAAUCCACUGUUGACCCCACUCUGGGGAAGAAUGGGAGACAGGGCUGUCUUGGACCAGCAGAUAGAGGACACAACGAGACAGAAGGAGCCUGAAUCCUUGACAUGGAGCCACCAUACUCCAUUCCAAUCACCUGUGAAGACUUUCAGGGUGAGACAUUACAUCUUCUGUGUUAUUCAAGCUGUGUUAUUUUGUGGGGUUUUUGUUUUGUUUUGUUUUGUUUUGUUUGUUUUUUUACAGUAGUCAAAUGUAUAACUUCAAUAUCAUUGAUGUUCUUAUUUCACACUUGAAGGGAAAGAGAGGCAGAGAGCCAUCUGCCAGCUGGUUAUGACCAAUUCCAGCCAGUGGAAGGGAAGUGGGCACU
Molecule: long non-coding RNA, 395 nt
Organism: Chlorocebus sabaeus (green monkey)
Lineage: Eukaryota; Metazoa; Chordata; Mammalia; Primates; Cercopithecidae
Source: RefSeq, a predicted model, not a curated record